AUUUAAAUAGUUUAAUAAGUGAAAGAAAAUAUUAGUUUGUGGCACUAAAGAUAUAUGUAUUAUUUUAAAUU
Molecule: transfer RNA, 71 nt
Filed under: Dolichovespula saxonica
Lineage: Eukaryota; Metazoa; Arthropoda; Insecta; Hymenoptera; Vespidae
Description: tRNA-His
Source: RNAcentral